RNAcentral lists this ribosomal RNA (509 nucleotides) under Heterixalus luteostriatus. Its description in RNAcentral is "partial 16S ribosomal RNA". It matches the Rfam family "Bacterial large subunit ribosomal RNA", at positions 1923 to 2597 of the family's 2925-position model. The record is from RNAcentral. Lineage: Eukaryota; Metazoa; Chordata; Amphibia; Anura; Hyperoliidae.
UUUAACGGCCGCGGUAUCAUAACCGUGCGAAGGUAGCAUAAUAAAUUGUUCUCUAAAUAGGGACUAGUAUGAAAGGCACCACGAGGGCUUAACUGUCUCCCUUUUCCAAUUAAUGAAACUGAUCUUCUCGUGAAGAAGCGAGAAUUAAAAUAUAAGACGAGAAGACCCCAUGGAGCUUUAAACUUCUCAUCAUUUACUUUUAAAUAUACCACCACAUACAGUAAAAUUGUUACCUGAGAGUUUUCGGCUGGGGUGACCCUGGAGCAAAACAAAUCCUCCAGGAUGAAUGGAGUAAAAUUCUAAUCUAAGAGCUACAGCUCUAAGAAUCAAAAUAUUGACAUAUUUGAUCCAAUUACUUGAUCAACGAACCAAGUUACCCUGGGGAUAACAGCGCAAUCCAUUUCAAGAGCCCCUAUCGACAAAUGGGUUUACGACCUCGAUGUUGGAUCGGGGUAUCCCAGUGGCGCAGCCGCUACUAAAGGUUCGUUUGUUCAACGAUUAAUAACCCC